This 200-nucleotide unclassified non-coding RNA is filed under the name Valsaria sp. RNAcentral's name for it is "partial internal transcribed spacer 2". The record is from RNAcentral. Lineage: Eukaryota; Fungi; Ascomycota; Dothideomycetes; Valsariales; Valsariaceae.
UUAAGUUCAGCGGGUAUCCCCGCCUGAUCCGAGGUCAACCUUGCAAAAAGUUGCGUGUCACUUGUGCGGCAGGCCGCCGGGGCGGGCUCCGAGGCGAUUCGCUUCUGCUACGCCCGAAGCCGUCCUGGGACCGCCGAGUUCUUUGAGGCGCGCCCGCGGUCCGCCCCCCGAGGGGGGUGGCCGGCGGGCGGGACGCCCAA